This 448-nucleotide ribosomal RNA is filed under the name uncultured bacterium. Its description in RNAcentral is "partial 16S ribosomal RNA". It matches the Rfam family "Bacterial small subunit ribosomal RNA", at positions 330 to 795 of the family's 1533-position model. The record is from RNAcentral.
UCCAGACUCCUACGGGAGGCAGCAGUGGGGAAUAUUGCACAAUGGGGGGAACCCUGAUGCAGCGACGCCGCGUGGGUGAAGAAGUCAUUCGUGACGUAAAGCCCUAUCAGCAGGGAAGAAAAUGACGGUACCUGACUAAGAAGCCCCGGCUAACUACGUGCCAGCAGCCGCGGUAAUACGUAGGGGGCAAGCGUUAUCCGGAUUUACUGGGUGUAAAGGGAGCGUAGACGGCGGCGCAAGUCCGGAGUGAAAUCCCCGCGCUCAACGUGGGAACUGCCUUUGAAACUGGCAAACUGGAGUGUGUGAGAGGAUAGUGGAAUUCCAGGUGUAGGAGUGAAAUCCGUAGAUAUCUGGAGGAACAUCAGUGGCGAAGGCGACUAUCUGGCACAUAACUGACGCUGAGGAGCGAAAGCGUGGGUAGCAAACAGGAUUAGAUACCCUCGUAAAC